AACGAAAUUUCCAUUACUUUUUUAACUUUCAACUAACUAAAAUUAUGUAACGAAGCAUAAUAAUUAGAACAAAUAUGAAAAAUAUAUACUUUGAGCUAACUAAAAUUACUAUCAAAGAAAUUUUAGUUACUACCAAAUAUGAAAAAUAUAUACUUUGAGCAAACUCAAAUACAUACUUUAGCUAGUAUCUAACAAGAAAAAUAAAGAGUUAAAGUUUUUGA
This 221-nucleotide long non-coding RNA is filed under the name Capsicum annuum. RNAcentral describes it as "long non-coding RNA (CANN_LNC017021)". Lineage: Eukaryota; Viridiplantae; Streptophyta; Magnoliopsida; Solanales; Solanaceae. The record is from RNAcentral.